CCCUUAGAUGUUCUGGGCCGCACGCGUGCUACACUGAGUGGAUCAGCGGGUCAGGUUGCGCGAAAGUGUUUCCUAAUCUUGAAAUCCGCUCGUGAUGGGGAUUGACGGUUGCAAUUUUCCGUCAUGAACGAGGAAUACCUUGUAAGCGCGGGUCAUCAUCCCGCGCUGAAUACGUCCCUGCCCUUUGUACACACCACCCGUCGCUCCUACCGAUUGAGUGGUCCGGUGAGGCUUUGGGAUCUGAGCAAAGAGAGCGUUUCGCUCGUUUUGCCCGGAAAACUCAGUCGAACCUUAUCAUUUAGAGGAAGGAGAAGUCGUAACA
RNAcentral lists this ribosomal RNA (322 nucleotides) under uncultured eukaryote. Its description in RNAcentral is "partial 18S ribosomal RNA". It matches the Rfam family "Eukaryotic small subunit ribosomal RNA", at positions 1470 to 1796 of the family's 1831-position model. The record is from RNAcentral.